CAGCCGCCGCGGUAAUGCGAAGGGGGCUAGCGUUGCUCGGAAUGACUGGGCGUAAAGGGCGCGUAGGCGGCGAUCAAAGUCAGGCGUGAAAUUCCUGGGCUCAACCUGGGGGCUGCGCUUGAUACUUGGUUGCUUGAGUGGGGAAGAGGGUCGUGGAAUUCCCAGUGUAGAGGUGAAAUUCGUAGAUAUUGGGAAGAACACCGGUGGCGAAGGCGGCGACCUGGUCCUUGACUGACGCUGAGGCGCGAAAGCGUGGGGAGCAAACAGGAUUAGAGACCCCUGUAGUCCCUGUCUCUUAUAC
RNAcentral lists this ribosomal RNA (301 nucleotides) under uncultured bacterium. Its description in RNAcentral is "partial 16S ribosomal RNA". It matches the Rfam family "Bacterial small subunit ribosomal RNA", at positions 509 to 807 of the family's 1533-position model. The record is from RNAcentral.